UGCAGUCGAACGAGAGAGAGGGAGCUUGCUUCCUCGAUCGAGUGGCGAACGGGUGAGUAACGCGUGAGGAACCUGCCUCAAAGAGGGGGACAACAGUUGGAAACGACUGCUAAUACCGCAUAAGCCCACGGCUCGGCAUCGAGCAGAGGGAAAAGGAGCAAUCCGCAUUGAGAUGGCCUCGCGUCCGAUUAGCUAGUUGGUGAGGUAACGGCCCACCAAGGCGACGAUCGGUAGCCGGACUGAGAGGUUGAACGGCCACAUUGGGACUGAGACACGGCCCAGACUCCUACGGGAGGCAGCAGUGGGGAAUAUUGCACAAUGGGGGAAACCCUGAUGCAGCGACGCCGCGUGGAGGAAGAAGGUCUUCGGAUUGUAAACUCCUGUUGUUGAGGAAGAUAAUGACGGUACUCAACAUGGAAGUGACGG
RNAcentral lists this ribosomal RNA (426 nucleotides) under uncultured bacterium. Its description in RNAcentral is "bacterial SSU rRNA". It matches the Rfam family "Bacterial small subunit ribosomal RNA", at positions 56 to 496 of the family's 1533-position model. The record is from RNAcentral.